UACGCGAUGACUUCUCUGACGAUGA
This 25-nucleotide non-coding RNA is filed under the name Drosophila melanogaster (fruit fly). Lineage: Eukaryota; Metazoa; Arthropoda; Insecta; Diptera; Drosophilidae. The record is from RNAcentral.